Molecule: long non-coding RNA, 585 nt
Organism: Gasterosteus aculeatus aculeatus (three-spined stickleback)
Lineage: Eukaryota; Metazoa; Chordata; Actinopteri; Perciformes; Gasterosteidae
Source: Ensembl
CUGACGUCUGCUCCUUUUUGCACUUUUUACUUCGUCUUUAGCAGAUCGGCCGGAUUCCAAUCAUGGAAAGAAGACCAAAAGAUGCCGUGAGGUCUCGACGGCUGGAAGUCUAUUUUGGCACACAUAGCGUUGCCGUGGUACGUCCUUCCUCUGCCUUCCCGAUGCGGUAACCUCCGUUCACUGGUUGGAAAAGACCAAGAUGGCGGCCGCUGUAAUCCAAGAUGGCGUCGGCCAAGAGGAGGCUUCAGAACAGCGGUCCACAAACCAGCGGGCGGGGGGGGGGGACACGUCCACUUCUCACGCGCGUCUCGUCUUGUCAUGACGUCUCCUGGAGGCUCCUGGCUGCCUUGUCCUCCUCAGCUUCUCGUCCCUCACCAGACCUCGUCUCGCCGUGAGUCUCCUUGACCUUCAUUCGUCCACGCUGCGGCUGUUUGGGAACGCGCUGCCUGCGCAGGUCGCCCCGUCCGAGGGUAUUUUCGGCGGCGUGUUCUUCGAGCCCGCGUGGUUCCGGCACUCCGCUCUUCCUGUUUGUGCUGUGGAUGAGAAAGCGAUGUCACCGAUGGGGUUUGAUGUCUUACAAAGAAC